AUGGAGCAGCGCAUCGCGGAGCUCGAGAAGUGUAUCGAGGCCCUGGAAGCGGGCGCUGCCAAGUGCCUCGAGGGGUCGCAUCCCGUCCGCCAGCUCGAGGAGCGCGUGGCCCGCCUUGAGGUUGACCACCAGAAGCAGACCGCCCAGUAUCUUCGUCGAGGUCGAUCAGAAGAUGGUGACGCUCGAGCUGAAACUGGACAAGGCGUAGUUCGAGCAGUACAAGGAGGUGCGGCCAAGCUGAACAAUCUCCAGGUCAGGUGCGGCACUUCAUCUGACCAGAUCCAGGCUCUUGCGGUCGCAUCAGCCGCACGCGACAUCAAGGUGGACAAGCAGCAUGUCCAGUGUCUUCUACAGAUCAAGAAGAACACAUGGAAAGUUGCCUGUGCCGUCCUCCUGGCGUUUCUGUGGUAG
Molecule: ribosomal RNA, 411 nt
Filed under: Triticum aestivum (bread wheat)
Lineage: Eukaryota; Viridiplantae; Streptophyta; Magnoliopsida; Poales; Poaceae
Description: partial small subunit ribosomal RNA
Source: RNAcentral